UACGGAGGGUGCAAGCGUUAAUCGGAAUUACUGGGCGUAAAGCGCACGCAGGUGGCUGAGUCAGUCGAUUGUGAAAGCCCUGGGCUUAACCUGGGAAUUGCAGUCGAUACUACUCAGCUGGAGUAUGGGAGAGGGCAGUGGAAUUCCCGGUGUAGCGGUGAAAUGCGUAGAUAUCGGGAGGAACAUCAGUGGCGAAGGCGGCUGCCUGGCCCAAUACUGACACUCAGGUGCGACAGCGUGGGGAGCAAACAGG
Molecule: ribosomal RNA, 253 nt
Filed under: uncultured bacterium
Lineage: Bacteria
Description: partial 16S ribosomal RNA
Rfam family: Bacterial small subunit ribosomal RNA
Source: RNAcentral